GUUUUAAUAGUUUAAAAUAAAACAAUGAUUUUGUAAAUCAAAAAUAGGAAACCCUUUAAAACU
This 63-nucleotide transfer RNA is filed under the name Ectatops sp. Its description in RNAcentral is "tRNA-Thr". The record is from RNAcentral. Lineage: Eukaryota; Metazoa; Arthropoda; Insecta; Hemiptera; Pyrrhocoridae.